Long non-coding RNA from Beta vulgaris subsp. vulgaris (sugar beet), 2336 nucleotides. RefSeq lists it as uncharacterized. The transcript is spliced from 2 exons. The record is from RefSeq and is a predicted model, not a curated record. NCBI's taxonomy places the organism in Eukaryota, Viridiplantae, Streptophyta, Magnoliopsida, Caryophyllales, Amaranthaceae.
UUAGCUCAGUUGGCAGAGCGGAAGACUGUAGUUGCUUAUGCAGAUAAUCUUUAGGUCGCUGGUUCGAUUCCGGCAGGUCGGACUUUUUAGUUUUCAACUUUUCACCCCUAUUUUUCUCAAACAAAAUCAUACUUUUUUUGUUUUACAUAUUAAUAAUAUAACAACCGACCUUAGCUCAGUUGGCAGAGCGGAAGACUGUAGUUGUGAUGCAGAUAAUCUUUAGGUCGCUGGUUCGAUUCCGGCAGGUCGGAUUUUUUUUCCCCACUUUUUUUCGCUAUAUUAUUUUCGAAAUUCACGAGAUUUCUCAUUUUCAAUUCAAUUAGGGUUUCGUCGCCGAAAAUCUCAAUUUUGACGUUUGCAGCUGGAGUAGACAAGUUAUCUGACACCAGGGAUGAAGAUGAACUAUCCUACAUCAUCCAGCAGGAGCAUAGGAUAUAAUUUUACUGCUGUCUCCUGCUUUAAAACUUCAUAAGAUUUAUAGAUCAGGUGCUGAUCUGUACUUCUGUAGUGUCAUUUUGUGGUUCUCCCAACAUCGUCUUUUGAACAUAGCACAUCUAUUUGUCAUGCUAUAAGCCAACCUUGGCAUAGAUAUGAAGUGGAUUAGAAGGCUGUCUCCUGAAGUAAACUACCUAAUCGUUCCUUUUUUGUUUUUUUUUUGCCUGCCAUGUGAUCAAGGAGCUACUUGGUCAUAGUCAUACGAUGUAGAAUUACUGCACAGGAAAUCUAACUUAUGCCAAUCUACCAUACACUACUAAUUAGUUAAUAAGAAUUACCUUUUUCUCGUUGUUUUUCUUCUGGUAAAGUUGUCUGGUUCUGUUUUGAUGUAUCAUGCUUUGUCAUUGAUACAUCGUUUAUGCCUUCAAUUCCUCAGUAAGGUAUAAACAUAAAUUUGUUUUUCCGCUUAUUUGUGCUGGCUGAUGACUAGAAGUUUUUUCUUCGGAUCAUGCUAGAGUUACUAAGAGUUUUGAUCUUUGAAGCAUCAGGGCUGCAUGGUUGCCUUAGUUACACCUAUUACUUUUUGUCUUUGUUGUGUUGGUUUAUUUUGUUGUGAGUAGCUGCCACAAGGCCCACAAAUGUAAGUUUAGUUUUACUGCUGUAAGUAGCUUUUACAAAUACUUAAUAUGCUUUUCCGCAACCAAAUGUUCAACAUCAAUCAAACUAGUUCCAUGUGAAUCAAGUGGGGGUUCAGUGGUAGAGCUUCUGUUCUGAUCACCCUCAAGUUGCAGCAUUUUGGUAGUUUCCUUCUGGGUAAAACUCCAAGUUCUCAGUCAAAAUUCCUUGUAUUAGAUUUUAGAUCCCCUUAUUUCCUUUACUUCACAGGUUAUGUGCUAUAUAUGACUAGUUAAGUUCCGAAUAAAAAUCGAAUCAAACUAGUCAAUUGCAAUCGAUUUUUUAGUCCUUUCUUAUGGUUCCUGACUCAGGUGAUUGGCUUUCUUAUAUAAUUUCUCAACAAUUGGUAAGAUUUUGAGCUGCCUCUGCCACCGCGUUGCGGAAUUUGAAGUUCUCAUAACUGAGUUGCACCAAGACUGAUGCUGUUUCUGAUAAAACUUGUCUUUGAUAAAACUUGCAGUGGAGAACAUGUGAAGGUUGACUUUUGGUACUGAACAGAUCUAACGGAGAAGUUUAGCAGUCUGAUUGUCUAACUCAGGUAAUGACUCUCUAUCAUAAUCUUAUGAUUUAUCAUAAUCAGAUUAAUACAAAGGUGUCGUGGUGUAGUUGGUUAUCACGUCAGUCUUACACACUGAAGGUCUCCGGUUCGAACCCGGGCGACGCCAUUCUUUAUUUUUUGACUUGUGUAAGUUUGUGGCAGUUGGGAAUUAUAGUGCUGGAUACUUGGUUUGGUGAUUAAAACAUAGAAAUUCUGACCCUACUUGCAAUAAAUUUCAUACUUCCUCCGUUUCGUUUUAAAUGCAACAAAAAAGUAUUUUAUAUCUCACAAAUAAUACCCCUUUGUUACAUUUAAAAUGAAAUGGAGGAAGUAUAAAAUCUUUGGAAUUUGGACGAUACUUCUUUUCCCUUCUUUUUUUCUUUGGUACAAGGAAAGAGUUGGGAGAUCCUUCUCUCAAGAAAGCUGCCUAACUUAUCUAAAGAAACUAAUUGUUGGAUGGUUGAGUUGUCGUUGUAUCGAUUUCUUGAGUGGCCUGUUGGACGAGGUAGCCUCUGUACAUAAAUAAUCAGCACCACGAUUUGCUUCUCUAAAGGUGUGUGUGUAUGUGAUAGAUGUGAAGCUUUUGAAUUGUAGUUCUAAACUCUGAUUGAGAGUAUACAGUCGUGCUUUUGGUUACAUGAUUCUAGCUUGUAUAGCUAUUCUCUAGUAUUGUUGUCAAUUUUUAUAA